This 468-nucleotide ribosomal RNA is filed under the name uncultured bacterium. Its description in RNAcentral is "partial 16S ribosomal RNA". It matches the Rfam family "Bacterial small subunit ribosomal RNA", at positions 28 to 507 of the family's 1533-position model. The record is from RNAcentral.
GACGAACGCUGGCGGCGUGCUUAACACAUGCAAGUCGAACGGAAAGGCCCUGCUUUUGUGGGGUGCUCGAGUGACGAACGGGUGAGUAACACGUGAGUAACCUGCCCUUGACUUUGGGAUAACUUCAGGAAACUGGGGCUAAUACCGGAUAGGAGCUCCUGCUGCAUGGUGGGGGUUGGAAAGUUUCGGCGGUUGGGGAUGGACUCGCGGCUUAUCAGCUUGUUGGUGGGGUAGUGGCUUACCAAGGCUUUGACGGGUAGCCGGCCUGAGAGGGUGACCGGCCACAUGGGGACUGAGAUACGGCCCAGACUCCUACGGGAGGCAGCAGUGGGGAAUAUUGCACAAUGGGCGGAAGCCUGAUGCAGCAACGCCGCGUGCGGGAUGACGGCCUUCGGGUUGUAAACCGCUUUCGCCUGUGACGAAGCGUGAGUGACGGUAAUGGGUAAAGAAGCACCGGCUAACUACGUG